RNA transcript from Columba livia (rock pigeon), 1635 nucleotides. It is a transcript of the gene named TruB pseudouridine synthase family member 1, with no coding region annotated. The record is from RefSeq and is a predicted model, not a curated record. NCBI's taxonomy places the organism in Eukaryota, Metazoa, Chordata, Aves, Columbiformes, Columbidae. The transcript is spliced from 11 exons.
CGGGCGGGGCGGAAGGCGGCGGCGGGCUGGCCGGGCCGGGGGCUGCCGGGAGCAUGGCUGCUAGGGAGGCGGGCGGCGCGGUGCUCGGCAGGUCCGCCGAGAAGCUGUUCUCUCUAAGCGGGUUGUUCGCGGUGUACAAGCCCAAAGGCCCCACCUCGGCCGGCGUGCUCAACCUCCUGAAGGAGAGGCUGCUCGCAGAAGCUGGUGUGCAAACAAAUGAGAACAAAAGAAACAAGGUUUUGAAAAUUGGACAUGGUGGAACUUUGGACAGUGCAGCAGCAGGAGUUCUGGUGGUUGGUAUUGGAAAAGGAACAAAAAUGCUGAGAACGAUGCUGGCGGGUUCCAAGAAGUACACUGCCAUUGGACUGCUGGGCAAAGCUACGGAUACAUUAGAUGCUACAGGAAAAGUAACUGAAGAAAAACCUUAUGUGUUUGUAACUAUGCACAGGAAUGUAUAUUCUGAAACCCACUUCCAGCUGCCUGCAGACGAUAUCCAGACAUGGAGAACAAAAUUCAUGAGGAUUUUCUGCAGGAUUUCUUCAGUAAAAUUGCCUUACUUAAUAUAUAACAAUAUCCUGGUAUGCAUUUUCAGACCAGAUAACAAAAGGAGAUCUGGAAAAUGUACUGCAAAAGUUCAUAGGGGACAUAAUGCAGGUUCCUCCACUUGGUCCCUUAGACACCCUAGAACAAGGCUACAGAACUUGGCAGUUGCUGUUCAGGGAAGACCCUGUUGUGAGCCGAGGAAAGGCGCAAGGCAGAAUUCCAGGGGUUGCCUGCACAACACUGACAGAGAGGACGCCCUGCAGACUGCUGAGAGACACUGGGGUAGAGGCAGCUGCAAGUGUUGGACCCCUUAUAGAAACACUUCGCGUUCAUAAACUACCACUAUUCUGCUUUGAAGAAGGAUGGAGAAAGGCUGUCAACUCUGAUGAAGAGAGGAGAAGCAGUCGAAGCAAAGCCUGCUCGGCCAGUACGAGUGUACAACCUCUGUCUCCAGCAGUUCCAGCCACCACUGUUCACGCUGGAUGUUGAAUGUGGUGGUGGCUUUUAUGUCAGGAGCCUGGUCAGUGACAUUGGCAAAGAACUCUCUACCUGUGCCACUAUGCAAGAGCUGACCCGAACCAAACAGGGGCCUUUCACGCUGGAGGAGCAUGCCCUUCAUGAAGACAAAUGGACAAUUGAUGAAAUUGCACGAUCCUUAGAGCAUUGCACGUCUCUUCUCCCGGCAGAGCCAUCUCAUAAAAAAUUGAAGACAGAGCAUCCUGGUGAAACUGCUGUUGGCUGUGAAGAUAAGUGAUAAGUUGGGUCAAGGAAAAAGACUGAAUGAUUGAGACAUUUUAAGAUUGGAUUUGGAUUGUCUUGCCUCCUGUGUAAAUUUACAAGUCUGUACUGGGAGGGUGACAGACUGCAGAGCAAGAAAAACGGUUCUUUUGUUUUCUGAGGUUAGAACAUGCACUGAAAAUAUCCAGCGCUUGCUGUUUCCUGAUCUGUUUGUUUUCCUUCUUGCACACUGUAAAUGAGUCUGCUACUGAUGUCAAGUCGUCAUAAACUUUUAAAGAACUUUCAGGGUGCCAUGCAGCUGUCGUUGCUGAUUCCUCAAUAAAAAAAAAAUUAUGAACCUUAAGGUUUGAUAAA